GAUGAACGCUAGCGAUAGGCUUAACACAUGCAAGUCGAGGGGCAGCAUGGUCUUAGCUUGCUAAGACUGAUGGCGACCGGCGCACGGGUGCGUAACGCGUAUGCAACUUGCCUCACAGAGGGGGAUAACCCGUCGAAAGACGGACUAAUACCGCGUACACUCCAUCUUGGGCAUCCAAGCUAGAGGAAAAGAAAUUCGCUGUGAGAUAGGCAUGCGUCCCAUUAGCUAGUUGGUGAGGUAACGGCUCACCAAGGCGACGAUGGGUAGGGGAACUGAGAGGUUGAACCCCCACACUGGUACUGAGACACGGACCAGACUCCUACGGGAGGCAGCAGUGAGGAAUAUUGGUCAAUGGGCGAGAGCCUGAACCAGCCAAGUCGCGUGAAGGAUGACUGUCUUAUGGAUUGUAAACUUCUUUUAUACGGGAAUAACAAGAGUCACGUGUGACUCCCUGCAUGUACCGUAUGAAUAAGCAUCGGCUAACUCCGUGCCAGCAGCCGCGGUAAUACGGAGGAUGCGAGCGUUAUCCGGAUUUAUUGGGUUUAAAGGGUGCGUAGGCGGCCUGUUAAGUCAGCGGUGAAAUCUAGGAGCUUAACUCCUAAAUUGCCAUUGAUACUGGCGGGCUUGAGUGUAGAUGAGGUAGGCGGAAUGCGUGGUGUAGCGGUGGAAUGCAUAGAUAUCACGCAGAACUCCGGUUGCGAAGGCAGCUUACUAAUGUACAACUGACGCUGAAGCACGAAAGCGUGGGUAUCAAACAGG
RNAcentral lists this ribosomal RNA (759 nucleotides) under uncultured Porphyromonas sp. RNAcentral describes it as "bacterial SSU rRNA". It matches the Rfam family "Bacterial small subunit ribosomal RNA", at positions 28 to 776 of the family's 1533-position model. Lineage: Bacteria; Pseudomonadati; Bacteroidota; Bacteroidia; Bacteroidales; Porphyromonadaceae. The record is from RNAcentral.